Molecule: non-coding RNA, 86 nt
Organism: Friedmanniomyces simplex
Lineage: Eukaryota; Fungi; Ascomycota; Dothideomycetes; Mycosphaerellales; Teratosphaeriaceae
Source: the annotation of a GenBank genome assembly
GGGCUGCUGGCUCAAUGGUAGAGUGCCUGACUACGAUAAUCACGGAGUCAAUCAGGAGGCUGCAGGUUCGAGCCCUGCGUAGCUCA